This 377-nucleotide ribosomal RNA is filed under the name uncultured bacterium. RNAcentral's name for it is "partial 16S ribosomal RNA". It matches the Rfam family "Bacterial small subunit ribosomal RNA", at positions 338 to 732 of the family's 1533-position model. The record is from RNAcentral.
CCUACGGGAGGCAGCAGUAGGGAAUAUUGCUCAAUGGGCGAAAGCCUGAAGCAGCAACGCCGCGUGGAGGAUGAAGGCUUUCGGGUUGUAAACUCCUUUAGUUAGGGAGGAAAAUGACGGUAUCCAACGAAUAAGCACCGGCUAACUCCGUGCCAGCAGCCGCGGUAAUACGGAGGGUGCAAGCGUUAUGCGGAAUCAAUGGGCGUAAAGAGUUCGUAGGCGGUAUGGCAAGUCAGAUGUGAAAGCCGAAGGCUCAACCUGAGAACGGCAAUUGAUACUGUCAAGCUGGAGUGUGGUAGAGGGAGAUGGAAUUCUUGGUGUAGCGGUGAAAUGCGUAGAGAUCAGGAGGAAUACUGGUGGCGAAGGCGACCUACUGG